GAUGAAAACGUAGCGAAAUGCGAUACGUAAUGUGAAUUGCAGAAUUCAGUGAAUCAUCGAAUCUUUGAACGCAUAUUGCGCUCUCUGGUAUUCCGGAGAGCAUGCUUGUUUGAGUAUCAGUAAACACCUCAACUCCCUUUUCUUUUUUGAAAUGGGAGCUGGACUUGAGUGAUCCCAACACUUUUCUCACUGGAAAGUGGCGGGUCACUUGAAAUGCAGGUGCAGCUGGACUUUUCUCUGAGCUAUAAGCAUAUCUAUUUAGUCUGCCUAAAAAACAGAUUAUUACCUUUGCUGCAGCUAACAUAAAGGAGAUGAGUUCUUGUGCUGACUGAUGCAGGAUUCACAGAGACAGCUUUGCGGCUGACUUUGUAAACUCGAUCUCAAAUCAAGUAAGACUACCCGCUGAACUUAAGCAUAUCAAUAAGCGGAGGA
Molecule: unclassified non-coding RNA, 432 nt
Filed under: soil metagenome
Description: partial contains 5.8S ribosomal RNA, internal transcribed spacer 2, and large subunit ribosomal RNA
Rfam family: 5.8S ribosomal RNA (bases 1-119)
Source: RNAcentral